Molecule: long non-coding RNA, 822 nt
Organism: Xiphophorus couchianus (Monterrey platyfish)
Lineage: Eukaryota; Metazoa; Chordata; Actinopteri; Cyprinodontiformes; Poeciliidae
Exons: 2
Source: RefSeq, a predicted model, not a curated record
UGGGAAUCAGAGUUAAACAUACAGUUCACAGAGGAACAGUGGGCUGCAAUAGUCAAACAAAUGUUAAAGCCCAUGAGAGAUGCACGCUCCAAACUGAUACAGUUCAAAAUUACGAAUCGAUUAUAUUGGACACCAGUUAAAUUAUUCAGAGCUAAAAUAAGUUACUCUGAUACUUGCUGGCGAUGCAAACAAAGCUCAGGAGACAUGCUUCAUAUGUUCCUCAUGUGUCCGAAACUAAUUUCCUAUUGGCAGGAGGUCAUGGGGAAAAUUAACAGCACCCUCAACUCCAACCUAUUGUUGACACCUACACUGGCACUUCUUAACUUCUUUGAUUAUAAAGUCAAAAUAGGAACAAAAAAAAUACAGUGGUUAAAAAUAGCCCUCACAACGGCUAAACGAGUUAUAUUAAGACACUGGAAAGGUCAAAGUAUCCCUACUUAUACAGAAUGGUAUGCAGCUCUUUUAGAAACUGCUUCUUAUGAACGACUCAUCUACAAGAUAAACGGUCAGAUUGAGGCGUAUCAGAGUAUGUGGGAACCGUUCUUAAAACCAUAGAGGAAAGGCUCAAACACUAUUGGUCCAGAAUAAAAGAUAGUGUGUUUGUACUUUUUUUUUUUUUUUUUUUUUUUUCCUUUAGCUCCUUCUGCUGGCUGGGGUGGGGGGAGUACGGGAGGAUCGGGAGGGGUUCAGGGGGGAAAAUGUUAAAAACUCAAAUCCUUCUCUGUAUAACUACUUAAGGUUGUAUACUUCACAGUAGUGAUAUUGUUAACAUUGGUUUCACUGUAUGUUUUAUUGUUGAAGGAUUUAAUAAAGAUUGAGAAU